RNAcentral lists this non-coding RNA (35 nucleotides) under Alexandrium fundyense. The record is from RNAcentral. Lineage: Eukaryota; Dinophyceae; Gonyaulacales; Pyrocystaceae.
GUGGGGCAAGAAGUUCUUCCACAAUCUCCCCUUGG